Molecule: ribosomal RNA, 93 nt
Filed under: Thermoactinomycetaceae bacterium
Lineage: Bacteria; Bacillati; Bacillota; Bacilli; Caryophanales; Thermoactinomycetaceae
Description: partial 16S ribosomal RNA
Rfam family: Bacterial small subunit ribosomal RNA
Source: RNAcentral
UUCCAGGAGAGUUUGAUCCUGGCUCAGGACGAACGCUGGCGGCGUGCCUAAUACAUGCAAGUCGUGCGGGGUCUUGAAGGGCUUGCCCUUUAA